CCUUAGAGUUUGAUCCUGGCUCAGAGCGAACGCUGGCGGCAGGCUUAACACAUGCAAGUCGAGCGGGCGUAGCAAUACGUCAGCGGCAGACGGGUGAGUAACGCGUGGGAACGUACCUUUUGGUUCGGAACAACACAGGGAAACUUGUGCUAAUACCGGAUAAGCCCUUACGGGGAAAGAUUUAUCGCCGAAAGAUCGGCCCGCGUCUGAUUAGCUAGUUGGAGAGGUAACGGCUCACCAAGGCGACGAUCAGUAGCUGGUCUGAGAGGAUGAUCAGCCACAUUGGGACUGAGACACGGCCCAAACUCCUACGGGAGGCAGCAGUGGGGAAUAUUGGACAAUGGGGGCAACCCUGAUCCAGCCAUGCCGCGUGAGUGAUGAAGGCCCUAGGGUUGUAAAGCUCUUUUGUGCGGGAAGAUAAUGACGGUACCGCAAGAAUAAGCCCCGGCUAACUUCGUGCCAGCAGCCGCGGUAAUACGAAGGGGGCUAGCGUUGCUCGGAAUCACUGGGCGUAAAGGGUGCGUAGGCGGAUCUUUAAGUCAGAGGUGAAAGCCUGGAGCUCAACUCCAGAACUGCCUUUGAUACUGGGGAUCUUGAGUUCGGGAGAGGUGAGUGGAACUGCGAGUGUAGAGGUGAAAUUCGUAGAUAUUCGCAAGAACACCAGUGGCGAAGGCGGCUCACUGGCCCGAUACUGACGCUGAGGCACGAAAGCGUGGGGAGCAAACAGGAUUAGAUACCCUGGUAGUCCACGCCGUAAAC
Molecule: ribosomal RNA, 759 nt
Filed under: uncultured bacterium
Lineage: Bacteria
Description: bacterial SSU rRNA
Rfam family: Bacterial small subunit ribosomal RNA
Source: RNAcentral